CUUAAAUUGAAGAGUUUGAUCAUGGCUCAGAUUGAACGCUGGCGGCAGGCCUAACACAUGCAAGUCGAGCGGUAGCACAAGA
RNAcentral lists this ribosomal RNA (82 nucleotides) under Pectobacterium odoriferum. RNAcentral describes it as "Pectobacterium carotovorum subsp. odoriferum partial 16S ribosomal RNA". It matches the Rfam family "Bacterial small subunit ribosomal RNA", at positions 1 to 79 of the family's 1533-position model. The record is from RNAcentral. Lineage: Bacteria; Pseudomonadati; Pseudomonadota; Gammaproteobacteria; Enterobacterales; Pectobacteriaceae.